GAUAUCGGGGAUCCAAGUAAGAGAAUUUAAAAGAAAAAUAAACAUCAGUUCAGACACUUGUGCAGGAAAUUCUGCUCAUUUCAGAACAAAGCAAAUUCAAAAGAUCUAUCUUGGAGAAAUCAGAUACUCAGACCAAGUAUAUGUUAAAAAAUUAAAACUUUAAAUCAAAAUUUUUAAGCCAGAAAUUUUAUAAUUUUGAAAGGAAAAUUUAUUUUUAACGGAUAAAUCACUCUGGAAAUCAGAUCGAAAGCAU
Molecule: unclassified non-coding RNA, 253 nt
Filed under: Hevea brasiliensis (rubber tree)
Lineage: Eukaryota; Viridiplantae; Streptophyta; Magnoliopsida; Malpighiales; Euphorbiaceae
Source: RNAcentral